Molecule: long non-coding RNA, 3081 nt
Filed under: Homo sapiens (human)
Lineage: Eukaryota; Metazoa; Chordata; Mammalia; Primates; Hominidae
Description: HSALNT0055935
Source: RNAcentral
UUAAUGAGCUUAUAUUUCAUUUGUGCUAAUUCAGUGGUGCUCAAUAAGAUAAACUUCUGUUGCUUAUACUAGUUAAAAUAGAAACAGCCAUAAAAUAUGCUUCUUAUUCUCCUUUAACCAAGCUUCUCUUUUAUGAUUUGUCUAGUUGUCUGGGCUUUUGCUGUUGCAACUGGAAGAGGCAAAGAAUAAUGAUUAUUAAAAAGUAGGUAUGUGCAAUAUUGAGAUCAUCCGGUGGUUCUUCAUUGCAAUCCAACAGGCAAAGGAGUAAGAAAGAAUCCUGGAAUCUUAAUUCUGGUUCUCAAGGACACGGGAAUGAUAGAAUUGGAAUAUUCCAUAAUUACUCAUUUGCUUUACCCCACAUUGCAAAUGCCACUGUCACAGAAGAACAAUACUAAUACUACCACCACCAAUUAUAGUCACAGAAACAGGCUUUGCCAGGCAAUGUUUUUGCCAUCACUUCUGAGGACAACUCACUUGAGAUCUUUCAAGAACUUCUGAAGACGGGUAUUUCAUAAACAAAGCUCUUCAUCAGAAGGCAAAGGAGGAGACAAAUAGAACUGUUUUUAGAACAUGAAAUGCAGUAAUUAUAUACAAUCCAUAGAUGUGUCUUAUACUUAUAGAAGCCCAGGUUUGACUGGGGUCAUGGAGAUGGAUGACCCCAGACUUUCGCAGAAUGCUUAUCUUUCACCCUGUUGUUUUGCACACUGUUACUUGUUAUCUAUGGAACUCAAAAGACAAUCAAUUCAGCAAUUCCACAUCUGAGUAUAUACCCCAAAUAAUUCAAAGCAGGGACUUCAAGAGAUAUUUGUAUACACUCAUGUUCACAGCGCAUUGUUUACAAUAGCCAAAUGGUGGCAGCAACCCAAGUGUCUAUCAACAGAUCAAAGGAUAUACAAAGUAUGGUAUAUACAUACAUCAGAAUAUUAUUCAGCCCUUAAAAGGAAGGAAAUUCUGACACAUGCUUCAAGAAUGAACCUUGGGGACAUUAUGCUACAUGAAAUAAACCAGUCACAAAAGGACAACAUUUUAUGAUCCCACUUACAUGAGGUUCAUAGAGCAGUCAAACUUGUAGAGACAGAAAGUAGCAUAGAGGUUGCCAGAGCUGAGAGGAGUGGGGAAAGGAGAGUUAGUGUUUAAUGGGUACAGAGUUUCAGUUUUGCAAGAUGAAAAGAGUUCUGUGGUUGGGUGGUGGUGGUGGUUACACAACAAUAUGAAGGUACUUAAUGCCACUGAACUGUAAACUUUAAUUAAAUUAAUUAAUUAGUUAAUUAAUUAUUUAUUGAGACACAGUCUUCAUCUGUCCCCCAGGCUGGAGUGUCAUGGUGCAAUCUCGGCUCACUGCAAUUUCUGCCUCCUGGGUUCAAACAAUUCUCAUGCCACAGCCUCACAAGUAGCUGGGAUUACAGGCGUGCACCACUACACCUGGCCAAUUUUUUGUAUUUUUAGUAGAGAUGGGGUUUCACCAUGUUGGCCACGCUGGUCUUGUUCGAACUACUGACCUCAAGUGAUCUGCACACCUCAGCCUCCCAAAGUGCUGGGAUUACAGGUGUGAGCCACUGCAUGUAGCCAACGGUACACCUUAAAAUGGUUAAGAUGAUAAAUGUUACGUUAUAUGUAUUUUACCACAUUUUUUAAAAAUCAAGUAUUUGGGGGCAUGGAGAGAGGAGGGUCUAAUGCCAGACAGAGGUGGGACCAAUUAGUGACUGAUUUCACACAAACUAUAGCACAUGCUGUCAGAACCUUGCCCAUAGCCCUUUGGCCAGUUACCAUUUUUCCUUGUCAAUCUGAAUUCCAACUGCCAGCACCAGCACCUCUUUGCCUGACAGAUUGCAAUGAAGCUGCUGGAACCUGCUUUUCCUGAGCAUGUAGCAGACCAGGCAUGUCAGGGCAUUAAACUCUCUAGGGAAGUCAAUGGCUGAUGGGAACUGGUGUACGAAUAUUCCAGUUCCCUCACUACUUAAAUGGAGUGGAUAACUGUGAAGCAUGUGUUUUAUACAGUGUCCCAAGUUCCAUAGCAGAAUUAUGCUCUUAUUUCCAUUAGAACUUGCUUAAUGAUGCACCUUUAUUGGCUUUUUCCUUUCCUUUUUUGUGAUGGCUAAUUUUUGUAUCAACUUGGCUAGGCCACUGUACCCAGAUAUUUGGUCAAACAUUAUUCUUGAUGUUGGUAUGAAAGUAUCAUUUAGAUGAGAUUGGCAUUUGAAUUAGCAGACUUUGGGCAAAGCAGAUUACCUUCCUGAAUGUGGGUGGGCCUCAUCCAAUCAGUUGAAGGCCUUAAUAGAAAAAGACUCUUCUGCCCUGAAGAAGAGGAAAUUAUGCCAGCAGGCUGCCUUCAUACUUGAAAUGCAAUGUUAAUUCUUCCCUGGGCCUCCAGCAUGCCAGCCUAUCCUGUAGAGUUUAGACUUGCGCCUCCACAAUUGUGUGAGGCAAAUCCUUAAAAUAAACCUCUCUCUCUCUCUCUAUAUAUAUAUAUAUAUAUAAUAUAAAAAAUUUGUGCGUAUAUGUGUAUAUAUUAUACAUAUAUACAUAUAUAUGCAUAUUUUCUGCUGCUUUGGAGAAUGCUAAUACAUUUUCCUAUUCCUGUGCCACUGUUCUCAGAAUACUUUUCCAUUUAAUCUAUAUUUGCCCUUGAAUCCUUGACUUAGAGCAGUGGUUCUCCCUCCACAGCACAUUUGGCAAUGUCAGGAGACAUUUUUGGUUGUUAUAGGAGUGGGUCUAGUGGGAAGAGGCCAGGAUGCUGCUCAACACCCUAUAAUGUACAGGACAGCAGCCUCUUACAUGAAAGACUCACCCAGCUGAUAUGGUUUGGCUGUGUCCCCACCCAAAUCUCAUCUUGAAUUGUACUCCCAUAAUUCCCACGUGUUGUGGGAGGGACCCGGUGGGAGAUAAUUGAAUCAUGGGGGCGGUUUCCCCAUACUGUUCUUGUGGUAGUGAAUAAGAUCUGAUGGUUUUGUCAGGAGUUUCUGCUUUUGGGUCUUCCUCAUUCUCUAUUUACCUGAUGCAAUGUAAGAUGGGACUUGCUCCUCCUUGCCUUCCACCAUGAUUGUGAGGUGUCCCCAGCCAUGUAAAACUGCAAGUUGAAUU